Molecule: ribosomal RNA, 253 nt
Filed under: uncultured bacterium
Lineage: Bacteria
Description: partial 16S ribosomal RNA
Rfam family: Bacterial small subunit ribosomal RNA
Source: RNAcentral
UACGUAGGGGGCAAGCGUUGUCCGGAAUCAUUGGGCGUAAAGCGUGCGCAGGCGGUGAUGUAAGACAGGUGUGAAAUCCCCGGGCUUAACCUGGGAAUGGCGAUGGAGACUGCAAGGCUAGAGUUUGGCAGAGGGGGGUAGAAUUCCACGUGUAGCAGUGAAAUGCGUAGAGAUGUGGAGGAACACCGAUGGCGAAGGCAGCCCCCUGGGUCAAAACUGACGCUCAUGCACGAAAGCGUGGGGAGCAAACAGG